This is a long non-coding RNA of Monodelphis domestica (gray short-tailed opossum), 467 nucleotides long. RefSeq lists it as uncharacterized. The record is from RefSeq and is a predicted model, not a curated record. NCBI's taxonomy places the organism in Eukaryota, Metazoa, Chordata, Mammalia, Didelphimorphia, Didelphidae.
AGGUUAGCCCGAGACCAGCUGGUAGAUGCGUACAGAUAGCUGGGGUGUGGCGUGCAUGCAUCCUAAUUGCGGGCGGUUUGCAGAUAGGGUGGGAUGGCUGGUUUGGGUUUGGGGAGGCAGUGGCGGGGCGAAGUGUGAGGACUUCCUGGGAAAGUUGGCUUGCUGGGAGAACGUUUGGUGCGCCUGUCUCCUGGAGAAAAAGUCGCAGGAGUCGCCUUCGGUUUCUAAUUGUGGAGGGUAGCCGGGUAUUGGAAUGGAGAGAAUAAUUCAAAAGAUGUCAAACCUCGAGCAGACCAGACCGCGUCCUCAGUUUGGCACACAAGAGAAAGAAGGCUGUGGUGAUGAUGAGCAGAGUGGGAACCAUAUCUAGGACGGGAGGAUGAAGGAGCAGUGGGUGGAAAGAAGCAAAAGAGCCCAAGGGAUGUGUAUUUGUGAUUCUUUGCCCUUAAUUAAGGCUCUCCAAUGAC